GACGAACGCUGGCGGCGUGCCUAAUACAUGCAAGUCGAACGAGAGCGACCGGUGCUUGCACUGGUCAAUCUAGUGGCGAACGGGUGAGUAACACGUGGGUAACCUGCCCAUCAGAGGGGGAUAACAUCGGAAACGGAUGCUAAAACCGCAUAGGUCUUCGAGCCGCAUGGCUUGAAGAGGAAAAGAGGCGCAAGCUUCUGCUGAUGGAUGGACCCGCGGUGCAUUAGCUAGUUGGUGAGGUAACGGCUCACCAAGGCCGUGAUGCAUAGCCGACCUGAGAGGGUGAUCGGCCACAUUGGGACUGAGACACGGCCCAAACUCCUACGGGAGGCAGCAGUAGGGAAUCUUCCGCAAUGGACGCAAGUCUGACGGAGCAACGCCGCGUGAGUGAAGGAGGUUUUCGGAUCGUAAAACUCUGUUGUUAGAGAAGAACAAGUGCUAGAGUAACUGUUAGCGCCUUGACGGUAUCUAACCAGAAAGCCACGGCUAACUACGUG
This 497-nucleotide ribosomal RNA is filed under the name uncultured bacterium. RNAcentral's name for it is "partial 16S ribosomal RNA". It matches the Rfam family "Bacterial small subunit ribosomal RNA", at positions 28 to 507 of the family's 1533-position model. The record is from RNAcentral.